AUGCACGCUGGCGGCGUGCCUAAUACAUGCAAGUCGAGCGAACAGACGAGGAGCUUGCUCCUCUGACGUUAGCGGCGGACGGGUGAGUAACACGUGGAUAACCUACCUAUAAGACUGGGAUAACUUCGGGAAACCGGAGCUAAUACCGGAUAAUAUAUUGAACCGCAUGGUUCAAUAGUGAAAGACGGUUUUGCUGUCACUUAUAGAUGGAUCCGCGCCGCAUUAGCUAGUUGGUAAGGUAACGGCUUACCAAGGCAACGAUGCGUAGCCGACCUGAGAGGGUGAUCGGCCACACUGGAACUGAGACACGGUCCAGACUCCUACGGGAGGCAGCAGUAGGGAAUCUUCCGCAAUGGGCGAAAGCUUGACGGAGCAACGCCGCGUGAGUGAUGAAGGUCUUCGGAUCGUAAAACUCUGUUAUUAGGGAAGAACAAAUGUGUAAGUAACUAUGCACGUCUGGACGGUACCUAAUCAGAAAGCCACGGCUAACUACGU
RNAcentral lists this ribosomal RNA (495 nucleotides) under uncultured bacterium. Its description in RNAcentral is "partial 16S ribosomal RNA". It matches the Rfam family "Bacterial small subunit ribosomal RNA", at positions 29 to 506 of the family's 1533-position model. The record is from RNAcentral.